Molecule: long non-coding RNA, 922 nt
Organism: Engraulis encrasicolus (European anchovy)
Lineage: Eukaryota; Metazoa; Chordata; Actinopteri; Clupeiformes; Engraulidae
Exons: 5
Source: RefSeq, a predicted model, not a curated record
UCUGUGUCAAAUUCUUGAUUAUGUUGGUCAACACAUAAUGUGUUAAAAUACUGUCCAAUCACAUCACUCUAAUCACGUCCGCGCUCACUCUAGCCCAUUUCGUUCUAUCAAAUGCCGUUACUAAAUACGGUUGACGCCUCCAGCAGCAGACAAUUCACCAAGGUAGAUACCGCCGGUAGUUCAUCCCAACUUGCUGCCGCCAAGGGCCGCUAGCUACGGCUGAGGGUCCUAGCGGCAUUGAAUAUCUGAGAGCUCUACUUCAGAGAAAAGGGCGAAGUGUCCUGGCAGACUACGAGGCUACUGGGAUGCUGUCAUUGACAUCAAGAAAGCUCCUCGUGAAAAUUGGUGUCAGCGAUUUGAUCGAGAGAAAGGGAUUCUGGACGCAGCAUUUGGGAGGAUGUUUCCAGGAAAGGCUGACAACUUCAUUCGGAAAUGGGAAGCAACCAUUGUGCCAAAACUGUGUGCCACCUGUUCCUGAGAAUGAUGCAUCUUGCUUUUCAAACACUGAUCCAGUUGCUGCCUCCAACUUCAGCAGGAAAAGGGAAAGGCGGAAAAUGAAUUGUCAAGUCAGCUCUGGGCCACCUCGACUUAGACAUGAAACUGAUUGGAACCAGUAUGUCCGGCCUGCUGAACGACAGUCCUCCUGAGCGCCUGUUGGAAAAUCGUCAUCCCCACCUUGUGUGUAUCGGUCAAGCCCAUGCUACUGCCCAAUACAUCAUCAUCGCUGAGAACGACAAAGUUGACAUCCCGCUCCAAGACAAUGGUUUGACUUUUGCAAUGGACAAACUGUUCAAAAUGUUUUGGAUUUGCAAUGCACAAUGACGUCUAUGUUUCACUUCUUUGAGACUGUUUACGAAGUGCCCCUCUCUAGUGGGAAGAGGGCCAAAGUGAUGGAGCUACUGUCAAAGCUCCAAGCCAUCCA